GACGAACGCUGGCGGCGUGCCUAAUACAUGCAAGUAGAACGCUGAAGGAGGAGCUUGCUUCUCUGGAUGAGUUGCGAACGGGUGAGUAACGCGUAGGUAACCUGCCUGGUAGCGGGGGAUAACUAUUGGAAACGAUAGCUAAUACCGCAUAAGAGUAGAUGUUGCAUGACAUUUGCUUAAAAGGUGCAAUUGCAUCACUACCAGAUGGACCUGCGUUGUAUUAGCUAGUUGGUGGGGUAACGGCUCACCAAGGCGAUGAUACAUAGCCGACCUGAGAGGGUGAUCGGCCAAACUGGGAAUGGGACACGGCCCAGAAUCCUACGGGAGGCAGCAGUAGGGAAUCUUCGGCAAUGGACGGAAGUCUGACCGAGCAACGCCGCGUGAGUGAAGAAGGUUUUCGGAUCGUAAAGCUCUGUUGUAAGAGAAGAACGAGUGUGAGAGUGGAAAGUUCACACUGUGACGGUAUCUUACCAGAAAGGGACGGCUAACUACGUG
This 495-nucleotide ribosomal RNA is filed under the name uncultured bacterium. RNAcentral describes it as "partial 16S ribosomal RNA". It matches the Rfam family "Bacterial small subunit ribosomal RNA", at positions 28 to 507 of the family's 1533-position model. The record is from RNAcentral.